Molecule: non-coding RNA, 265 nt
Organism: Pelobates cultripes (western spadefoot toad)
Lineage: Eukaryota; Metazoa; Chordata; Amphibia; Anura; Pelobatidae
Source: the annotation of a GenBank genome assembly
AGUCAAUGAUGAUGAGUAAAAGGUCUGAUUGCAAGGUUUCCCUCUUACACCAAACUAGCUCCCAGCAAUAUCGCAAUUCACCCCAUCCUGCUUAAAGAUGUGCAGUUGACUGGUUAACAAAGUUGCUGACACAUUCGGAAUAUCUCAUAGCCACUUCUCUUGAAGAGUGGAGAGGUGUGACUAUGAUGGGCUUCCAACAUAAUCAUUUGAGAAGGAGUCUAAGGUGUAAUGGAUUCAGUGUAUGAAAUAUCUUCGUGCUGAGACU